RNAcentral lists this ribosomal RNA (770 nucleotides) under uncultured Acaulosporaceae. RNAcentral's name for it is "eukaryotic LSU rRNA". It matches the Rfam family "Eukaryotic large subunit ribosomal RNA", at positions 11 to 694 of the family's 3401-position model. The record is from RNAcentral. Lineage: Eukaryota; Fungi; Glomeromycota; Glomeromycetes; Diversisporales; Acaulosporaceae.
GUCAAGUAAGAAUACCCGCUGAACUUAAGCAUAUCAAUAAGCGGAGGAAAAGAAACUAACUAGGGUUCCCUUAGUAACGGCGAGUGAACCGGGAAGAGCUCAAAUUUUAAAUCACCUUGGUGAAUUGUAAUUUGAAGAAAGUGUUUUGACUUUUCAGUUUAAUCCAAAUCCUUUGGGAUGAGGUAUCACAGAGGGUGAGAAUCCCGUUCGUGAUUAGACCUCGGAAUGCAUUAAUUCACUUUCUAAGAGUCGAGUUGUUUGGGAUUGCAGCUCUAAAUGGGUGGUAAAUUUCACCUAAGGCUAAAUAUAUGCAAGAGACCGAUAGCGAACAAGUACCGUGAGGGAAAGAUGAAAAGAACUUUGAAAAGAGAGUUAAACAGUACGUGAAAUUGUUGAAGGGGAAACGAUUGAAGUCAGUCAUGCUAGUGAGGAAUCAACUUGGUGGUUUACUUCCUUGUGUAUUUUCUUACUUGGCAGGUUAGCAUCAAUUUUGGUUGUCAUCAAAUAACUGGGGGAAUGUGGCUUUUCUUCGGGAAAGUGUUAUAGACCUUGAUAGAUGUGGCGACUGAGAUUGAGGUUUGCAGCGAAUGCCUUGGGCUAGUCAUCUGUCUUCUGACCGUCACCUCGCUUUUGACAGCUUGCUGAUGAUUGCGGGAUUUGGUGGCCUAGAAGUUAGAAUGUACAUAAAUUCGCUAAGGAUGCUGACGUAAUGGCUUUAAACGACCCGUCUUGAAACACGGACCAAGGAGUCUAACAUAUGUGCGAGUGUU